Molecule: small nucleolar RNA, 86 nt
Organism: Peromyscus maniculatus bairdii (prairie deer mouse)
Lineage: Eukaryota; Metazoa; Chordata; Mammalia; Rodentia; Cricetidae
Source: Ensembl
GCAGUGAUGACACUCCAUACAAAGCACUCGUUAGACUGCUGAUCCGGGUGAUGCGGAAAAAAAAAAUGUCAAUGUUGUACACCUGC